GAUGAACGCUGGCGGCGUGCCUAAUACAUGCAAGUAGAACGCUGAAGGAGGAGCUUGCUCUUCUGGAUGAGUUGCGAACGGGUGAGUAACGCGUAGGUAACCUGCCUGGUAGCGGGGGAUAACUAUUGGAAACGAUAGCUAAUACCGCAUGACAACAGUUAUUGCAUGAUAACUGUUUAAAAGGGGCAACUGCUCCACUACCAGAUGGACCUGCGUUGUAUUAGCUAGUUGGUGAGGUAACGGCUCACCAAGGCGACGAUACAUAGCCGACCUGAGAGGGGGAGCGGCCAAACUGGGACUGAGACACGGCCCAGAGUCCUACGGGAGGCAGCAGUAGGGAAUCUUCGGCAAUGGACGGAAGUCUGACCGAGCAACGCCGCGUGAGUGAAGAAGGUUUUCGGAUCGUAAAGCUCUGUUGUAAGAGAAGAACGAGUGUGAGAGUGGAAAGUUCACACUGUGACGGUAUCUUACCAGAAAGGGACGGCUAACUACGUG
This 495-nucleotide ribosomal RNA is filed under the name uncultured bacterium. Its description in RNAcentral is "partial 16S ribosomal RNA". It matches the Rfam family "Bacterial small subunit ribosomal RNA", at positions 28 to 507 of the family's 1533-position model. The record is from RNAcentral.